AGACUUCCACGUGGCUCCUCACUUUUCUACAUCCUUGCACAGCUGACAUUGAUUACGUUAAACGUGAACCAUAAGCGUGUUUUGUUUCUCUUUUAAAUAGCUUGCUUCAUUCCAUGUAAAGGUACCUUUGAUUUGAACGAAGAAUUGUUUUGUUGAUUUUUGUCCAGAAAUUUCUUCUUGUUGAAGGUCACCGAGAGAGAGCUUGAGAGCUUCCUCUAGCUUCUCUCCCUAGCUAGGCAUCAAAUCCUAGCAUAUCUCCACCAUCUGCAUCAUAUUUCAGCACCCAAUCUCUACCUUUAUUCCACUUUUAUACAUCACCGCUUAAUUAGUUUCCUUCACUGAAUCACCGUUUGAUUCAAACCUCCUCUGCCUCAACCUUAUCUUCAGCACUGAGUCUUCCAUUUGCUUCCAUCCAGCCACCAACACCGUUUAAAUAGUGGCUCCCAGAAUUUCUGCUUCCUACGGUUAUCAUCAUUAAUCAUCUUCUUCUGCUGCAACAAAUGAUGUCCAUCUCCUUUUCCAGUUCAGAUUCCAGAAGUUCCUAGAAGAAGUUUCGUUGAUUUCAUCUUCCACUAAAAUCAGCUGGAAAAUUCUUCCAUCAGGUAGAGUGCCUUUUUAAGAGUUCACUGGCUUAUUUUCU
This 640-nucleotide long non-coding RNA is filed under the name Vigna radiata. RNAcentral's name for it is "long non-coding RNA (VRAD_LNC006217)". The record is from RNAcentral. Lineage: Eukaryota; Viridiplantae; Streptophyta; Magnoliopsida; Fabales; Fabaceae.